AGAGUUUGAUCCUGGCUCAGGACGAACGCUGGCGGCGUGCUUAACACAUGCAAGUCGAACGGAAAGGCCCUUCGGGGUACUCGAGUGGCGAACGGGUGAGUAACACGUGGGCAAUCUGCCCUGCACACCGGGAUAAGCCUGGGAAACUGGGUCUAAUACCGGAUAGGACCACUUGGCGCAUGCCUUGUGGUGGAAAGCUUUUGCGGUGUGGGAUGGGCCCGCGGCCUAUCAGCUUGUUGGUGGGGUGACGGCCUACCAAGGCGACGACGGGUAGCCGGCCUGAGAGGGUGUCCGGCCACACUGGGACUGAGAUACGGCCCAGACUCCUACGGGAGGCAGCAGUGGGGAAUAUUGCACAAUGGGCGCAAGCCUGAUGCAGCGACGCCGCGUGGGGGAUGACGGCCUUCGGGUUGUAAACCUCUUUCACCAUCGACGAAGGUCCGGGUUUUCUCGGAUUGACGGUAGGUGGAGAAGAAGCACCGGCCAACUACGUGCCAGCAGCCGCGGUAAUACGUAGGGUGCGAGCGUUGUCCGGAAUUACUGGGCGUAAAGAGCUCGUAGGUGGUUUGUCGCGUUGUUCGUGAAAUCUCACGGCUUAACUGUGAGCGUGCGGGCGAUACGGGCAGACUAGAGUACUGCAGGGGAGACUGGAAUUCCUGGUGUAGCGGUGGAAUGCGCAGAUAUCAGGAGGAACACCGGUGGCGAAGGCGGGUCUCUGGGCAGUAACUGACGCUGAGGAGCGAAAGCGUGGGGAGCGAACAGGAUUAGAUACCCUGGUAGUCCACGCCGUAAACGGUGGGUACUAGGUGUGGGUUUCCUUCCUUGGGAUCCGUGCCGUAGCUAACGCAUUAAGUACCCCGCCUGGGGAGUACGGCCGCAAGGCUAAAACUCAAAGGAAUUGACGGGGGCCCGCACAAGCGGCGGAGCAUGUGGAUUAAUUCGAUGCAACGCGAAGAACCUUACCUGGGUUUGACAUGCACAGGACGCGUCUAGAGAUAGGCGUUCCCUUGUGGCCUGUGUGCAGGUGGUGCAUGGCUGUCGUCAGCUCGUGUCGUGAGAUGUUGGGUUAAGUCCCGCAACGAGCGCAACCCUUGUCUCAUGUUGCCAGCGGGUAAUGCCGGGGACUCGUGAGAGACUGCCGGGGUCAACUCGGAGGAAGGUGGGGAUGACGUCAAGUCAUCAUGCCCCUUAUGUCCAGGGCUUCACACAUGCUACAAUGGCCGGUACAAAGGGCUGCGAUGCCGCGAGGUUAAGCGAAUCCUUUUAAAGCCGGUCUCAGUUCGGAUCGGGGUCUGCAACUCGACCCCGUGAAGUCGGAGUCGCUAGUAAUCGCAGAUCAGCAACGCUGCGGUGAAUACGUUCCCGGGCCUUGUACACACCGCCCGUCACGUCAUGAAAGUCGGUAACACCCGAAGCCAGUGGCCUAACCCUCGGGAGGGAGCUGUCGAAGGUGGGAUCGGCGAUUGGGACGAAGUCGUAACAAGGUAGCCGUACCGGAAGGUGCGGCUG
Molecule: ribosomal RNA, 1509 nt
Filed under: Mycobacterium kansasii
Lineage: Bacteria; Bacillati; Actinomycetota; Actinomycetes; Mycobacteriales; Mycobacteriaceae
Also listed under: 2 other names
Description: bacterial SSU rRNA
Rfam family: Bacterial small subunit ribosomal RNA
Source: RNAcentral